AUUGAACGCUGGCGGCAUGCCUUACACAUGCAAGUCGAACGGCAGCACGGGAGCAAUCCUGGUGGCGAGUGGCGAACGGGUGAGUAAUAUAUCGGAACGUGCCCAGUCGUGGGGAUAACGUAGCGAAAGUUACGCUAAUACCGCAUACGAUCUAAGGAUGAAAGCGGGGGAUCGCAAGACCUCGCGCGAUUGGAGCGGCCGAUAUCAGAUUAGGUAGUUGGUGAGGUAAAGGCUCACCAAGCCGACGAUCUGUAGCUGGUCUGAGAGGACGACCAGCCACACUGGGACUGAGACACGGCCCAGACUCCUACGGGAGGCAGCAGUGGGGAAUUUUGGACAAUGGGCGCAAGCCUGAUCCAGCAAUGCCGCGUGCAGGAUGAAGGCCUUC
RNAcentral lists this ribosomal RNA (388 nucleotides) under uncultured bacterium. RNAcentral's name for it is "bacterial SSU rRNA". It matches the Rfam family "Bacterial small subunit ribosomal RNA", at positions 30 to 419 of the family's 1533-position model. The record is from RNAcentral.